UUAACUAUUGUAUAGUACUCAGACGACAUUAACAUUCAGAGUUUGGGGUUCUCUGGCGGGCACACACUAGCCGGAGCCAGCAGCAGGCCGAGGCCUGACGGCCCGCCAAAGCAACAUAGGUAUAAAAUACACAAGGGUGGGAGGUCUACCCCUAAGGGCAUGAACUCUGUAAUGAUCCCUCCGCAGGUUCACCUACGGAGA
This 201-nucleotide unclassified non-coding RNA is filed under the name uncultured fungus. Its description in RNAcentral is "sequence contains ITS1". Lineage: Eukaryota; Fungi. The record is from RNAcentral.